GGUGGGAUGCAGGAGUGGUUUAACUGGCGAUCCUGGAAAGAUCGUGUCGCCGCAAGGCGACCGUGGGUUCGAAUCCCACUCCCACCG
This 87-nucleotide transfer RNA is filed under the name Candidatus Daviesbacteria bacterium. RNAcentral's name for it is "tRNA-Ser". It matches the Rfam family "tRNA". From Rfam's summary of the family: Transfer RNA (tRNA) molecules are approximately 80 nucleotides in length. Their secondary structure includes four short double-helical elements and three loops (D, anti-codon, and T loops). Further hydrogen bonds mediate the characteristic L-shaped molecular structure. tRNAs have two regions of fundamental functional importance: the anti-codon, which is responsible for specific mRNA codon recognition, and the 3' end, to which the tRNAs corresponding amino acid is attached (by aminoacyl-tRNA synthetases). tRNAs cope with the degeneracy of the genetic code in two manners: having more than one tRNA (with a specific anti-codon) for a particular amino acid; and 'wobble' base-pairing, i.e. permitting non-standard base-pairing at the 3rd anti-codon position. The record is from RNAcentral. Lineage: Bacteria; Candidatus Daviesiibacteriota.